ACUCCUACGGGAGGCAGCAGUAAGGAAUACUGCGCAAUGGACGAAAGUCUGACGCAGCGACGCCGCGUGGGGGAUGAAGGUCUUCGGAUUGUAAACCCCUUUCGGCAGGGAAGAUGGAACGGGCAACCGUUCGGACGGUACCUGCAGAAGCAGCCACGGCUAACUUCGUGCCAGCAGCCGCGGUAAUACGAAGGUGGCAAGCGUUGUUCGGAUUCACUGGGCGUACAGGGAGCGUAGGCGGUUAGGUAAGCCCUCCGUGAAAUCUCCGGGCCUAACCCGGAAAGUGCAGAGGGGACUGCUUGGCUAGAGGAUGGGAGAGGAGCGCGGAAUUCCCG
RNAcentral lists this ribosomal RNA (335 nucleotides) under uncultured bacterium. RNAcentral describes it as "bacterial SSU rRNA". It matches the Rfam family "Bacterial small subunit ribosomal RNA", at positions 335 to 672 of the family's 1533-position model. The record is from RNAcentral.